CUUUGCUCUAGGUUAGAAGAGAAAACCCAACCAUAGGUUUCUAGUUUUUUCGUAUUAUUUUUCAAGAGAUGGAGCAGGCAUCCUCCAGUGGGUGGAGAAGACGCUGGUGUGGAUGUUGGCGGGUUUGCCAGAAGGUCAAUCACAAUGGCUUGGCCGGAAGAAAAAAUUAAGAAAAGGAGAGGGAGAAGAAUAGUUGCAGCUGAAAACGGCCACUCCAUGAGGCAGAUAGGCUUGUACUGCCAGAGGAACCGAUGCUGGUGCGGAGGUGCCGCUGGAGUCGAUAGUGAUGCCGCUUCGAUGCAUUGUCUCUCCAAUGGGCAGAUUUUGCAGCCACGGAUUCUUGUUAUGGAAGUUCCAGAAUUCUAGGCAACAUCUAUUUUUCCCAUCCCCAGUUUGAUGAACUAAAAUGGAUUGAUUUUAAAUUUUUGAAAGCGUAUUUCCGGGUAAGCAAACAUGCCCUCAAAGAAGAUCAGAAGAAAGGUUUUCGAAAUGGCAAAUGAUGCACCAUCAUUUUAAUACAUUUUGUAUGUAUUCAUCCAUGAACUUAAAGUUUAAAACUCAUGUUUUACAUUGUUUUAGUGUUAAGAGAUGAUGUCUUCAAUUACAUGAUUUUUACGUUUAAAACAAGAGA
Molecule: long non-coding RNA, 631 nt
Organism: Nymphaea colorata (pocket water lily)
Lineage: Eukaryota; Viridiplantae; Streptophyta; Magnoliopsida; Nymphaeales; Nymphaeaceae
Exons: 2
Source: RefSeq, a predicted model, not a curated record